Oreochromis aureus is the source of this 5295-nucleotide long non-coding RNA. Lineage: Eukaryota; Metazoa; Chordata; Actinopteri; Cichliformes; Cichlidae. The record is from Ensembl.
GCUGACUGGAAGUCUCUCUUGUAGCCUGCAGUUCAUUUUCACAGGGAGCCGAGCAGGGAUCAGGAAAUUCCUGAAUAAGAGGAGAGUCAGAUCUUUCCAAGAGUGACUCUGCAGAAGUCUGAGUCACCACACUCGGCAGCGCUGUACAAUGGGAGCUCAAUACCACAACGUCCACCUCCUCCAGCUCUUCCAGGGAAAACACUGAUGUAACCUCUCCUGCAUGUCUUUGGUCUGCUGCGGGUGCUCCUCCUGGUUGGACACACCUGUAAAACCUCACCUGGGAGGCGUCCAGACAGCAUCCUUUUUAGAUGGCUGAGCCACCUCAACCGGCUCCUUUUGACGUUAAAUGAUUAAAAAAACAAAAAACAAAACGAAAAUCUGGUUGAACAACUCACACCUUAGUUUACUGGCAACAAAUCUCUUUUCCACUGAUGCAGUGCCAGCGGUGAUGCCAGAUCUAAAUCAAUAUUGUCUGAACAUGAUUCUCAGGCCCUUCAGUGGGACUGUAGUAAAGCCAGGCAGAAGUCUGCUGGAAAUCACUGCCCUAAAGGCUCAGGAAGACUCUCAAAAACAAGUGUUACUAAACGAAGUCCACUCAAAAAUUCAAAACAAAGCAUAUAUAAACAACAUCCAGAAACAUUACAGCCUUCUUUGGGUCAUAAAUGUAUGAAGCGUACUGAUCAGUCUAACACUGGUUUCUCAGAUGCGUUCCCAGUCAAAACCUGUUCACAUAUUCUUUUCCUUAUUCCUUUCUGACACCUUUCACCUUUCUUGAAGGUGUCCUCCUACAUACAUGUUUAGAUGACUGCCUCUUCUGCACGCUUGGAAGCAAAACCAAAAUACAAAAAGUGCCAGUGAGAGAAGUACCACUCUGCUGGUAAUAAGGAUUUAUCUGUCACUCAGACAAAUCAGUGUCGUCUGAUGGUCACUCCUAUACAUCCUGCUAUGACUUGGUCUAACCCUCACCCUAAAGAAGACUUAUUGCAAAACUAAGAAAGAGGGUACGGGAUAACAAAGCCCUCAAAAGAAUCAGAGCUGUUGCUCUCAGCAAUUUGCUUGGCAUACAUGGAAACUGUAUGCCAAACAACAUGAGAAAUGUCUAAAUAUCCUCUGCUGAAGAUACUUAAGGAGUAUUUUUAACAUGAAGUGGUGAGACAAACUACCAAAUGUUGAAAUAUUUGCCACCAAGCCUGCAUGCUAUCUUAUCUCGGCACCCAAACUUGCGCCAUAAAAGUAAAAGUAGUAGUAAGAGUCGAGAAAUGUCACCAACUGUAAACAUAGGGCGCAUUUUAAAUAAAACAAAAAAACCCCACAAACUGCUGAGUAGCUGAAAUGUUACGUCUUUCCAUUCUUCAUUGAUACAUUUCUUUCAGAACUACAGCAGCUGAUCUCUUUCAUUCUUCAACGCCUACAGGCUGUUAAAAUAAGAGAUGAUGCAACGCUGCGGUAAACAUGUGUCUGUCCCAGCUAUUUUGAAACCUGUUGUUGGCAUCAAAUUCAAAGAGAACAUUAAAAAAAAAAGAGGCUAAUUUCUAAUCGAAAGACAAAUGUUUUCCAUUUCAGGGUUUCACAUGUUGUCUUCUUAUUGCUUCGCCUAAAUACACCCUUAAAAUGAUUUGACUUCUGUUUUUAUCUCCAUUUUACACAAAGUCUGAACUCUUUUUGGAAAUAGGUAAUUAGUAAUGAGCUGCUGGUGCUUCGUAUUUAACAUUUCCUUUAGGGCAGGGGUGUCAAACCUAAGACCCGGGGGCCAAAAUCAGCCCUGCAAACGCUCUAAUUCGGCCCAUGGGGCAAAUGUGAAAAUAUGAAAUAGGACAUUAGACUCGUGCCGAUUGAUUUUUUUCAUUUAUUACAGCAGCGCUUCUUUAUAAUGUAGAAAAUCUGAGACGCACUGUUGAAAUUGCUCUUCUUUAACUUAUAUUAAGAUAUUUCAGGAGUUUAAUGUGCAGUCAAACUUCUUUAGAUGUAAAAUGAGUUCAAUAUCCCUGCUUUAAGGGGAAAAAAGGACAAGGAUUUAUGACCUCUGACUGUAAGCUUUGUGUAACUGGGGCCCUUUAUCACAAAACAGUUACCACUUCCACCCCAGAGAUACUUCCCCUCUAUUUCCCCCAGUAGCUAUUUAAACAAAAACCACAUGAGAAGAUCAAACAGGUAUGCAACAAAUACAAGGAUGUAAUGUUUUAAGGCAGCAAAGAUGUGAGAAAAAAGACUGGAUAUAGCAGAACUUUGCAUUUCUUCUCAUCUCAUCAUCUGAUGAGUCCUCGAGGUUAACUUGUGACCUCUUGAAGUCACCCUGACGCUGAGGUUGGAAAAACCCUGGAUUACACCCCUGCAGCUCUCCCUCAAGCAGCUGCACAGCUUACACGCUAACAUGUCAAAUUGUGUUUUUAUGUGUUAGUUGCAGGGGGUAAUUUUUCUGCAAACCAAGCACAAACGUUGUUUUUAAGUUAAAUGGAAAAGCUCUGUUUUUGCUGCUUCUCUGACAGGCUGAUGCCUUUGGUUGUUUCUGUUGAGACAUUCAGCCGUGAGCAGUUCCUGUUCCUGUUCCUGCCACCCCCCCACCCCCCCGGCUGCUGUUGCUGGGACCAACCGACACUCUCACUGAUGUGACAUAUACUAAUCAACUAUAAUAGGGUAAAAAAACAUGCAUGUAGGUCAUAGCGUAAAUAAGAGGUUCGAGCCGGUGCUUCCCCGCUUAUAAGCUCCACAUCCUUCCUCUUGCUGAACGCAGCAAGGAGCGAUGACUUUGACGUCGACACAUGGUCGACAUGUAAACAAAGCUGGCUGACCUGCCUCACCACAGAUGUCAUCACUGUGUUCCUUUGGGUUUGUUGUUGAUAUUGUCUUCAUAGAAACGGUGGAAAGGAACAAAAAAAAAAAAGAAAAAAGAUGCCAAAGUGUUGCGUGUGGUGUUGUGUACCGCUGAGUCUGUGCUACCAAAAGCUGUUGUUACAAAUGAGGUGAAAGGUAAGGGUACGUGAACGUGAGGAUGGCCACAUAGUCGUGUGGGUGAGUGAAAUGUUUUCAUGGCUGCCACCCACGUCAACACACCCUGUUUCCUCUUGAGUAAUCAUGUCAGUCAAAGCCUACACACCACUACUACUAUGAUAAUCCGAGCUGCUGUCUGUGAUUUGAUGAUUUUUCAGCCGAGAGUUUUUGCUGUACAGCGUUUCAUUAUUAUAUUAUUCUCCCUCGGCCUCAGAGGCAUAUGUCCUCCCCAUGGUUUCAACUCCCUGUUUAAACUGGUUUAAGCUGGGCUUUUGUAAUACAGAUGACGCCAUAUUUUUUUGCGCUGUGCCAUACUGCAAAUUUUGGUAUCAAUCUAUUACCAAGUAAAUACAAGCCCAGUAUUACCAAUGCCGAAAAGGCCACUUACAUGGGGGAGAGCAGUGUCCCAUGAUUUGUGAGAUGAAUCACUGAGUUUUACUUUUUACAAUAAUGAGUUAAUACAUGAAAACACACCCUUCAGCAUUGCGUAUAUUUUAAAAGUGGGGCAGCUUUUGUUGUUUAUAUGUGCUUUAUGCUAUAAAUAAAAUAGACGUGACCGUCACCACAAAAAGGGUCAGGCUUUAAUCAAACAGUUUGAGGUAUUGUUUUUUCUUUACAUGUUUUUUUAACACAAUUCAGCGGGCUACAUACUGAAUUCAGAGGUCCAGUAUCGAUCCAAUACCAAUACCCGCAUUGGUAUCAGUACUAUCGAUACACCUCUAGAUGGAAGUGGAAUUUCUUAAACACACCGAGUACAUCAGAGGACAAAUUUUCACUUCCACAAUAUUCAAAAUUUUCAAGGAGUGGUCGUCAGAAUAAAACAGGAUGUUUGCUUUGUGUGCAUGGCGAUUCAUAUGUCUGGUAAUCUAGGAAAGUUUUGGUGGGCAGCUUUGAGGAACAGUGCAUUAGACUGAACUUUCAAUAUUGAUAUAAACUUCAUCACCUUACAGAUUAGUGGGAUGUUGUGUUUCCUUUCCUUUUCUUUUUUUAUUCCUACUUUAGUGAAGUGCAUGCAGUCAUACCUAGAGUCAGUUUCUCCGAUGAAGUGGUGAUGAAGUCUUGACUGUUUAAAAGAGCUCAGAUGCAUAUUUCUGUUUCUUCAUUUCUUGACUAUUUUCUUUUUUGACUAUUGAUUGGUUAACAGUUCCUACAGUAGCUGUACGGCUGCCUCCUAUUCAGUGGUUACAAAUAACUAACUAAAUAAACAAACAGUUGAAAUUUACCUAACUUGUUUAACUUGCUUUCUCAUUUAUGCAGUCAUUGGACAUCUAUAGGCUUAUUUUAUUGUGACAGGCAAUAGACACAAUCUAAUAUUUUACAUAUACAUGCUAAUAAUAAUUAGUGACUGUUUCUUGGUAAAAAUGUACAUGCAGUUUGUUUUUAAAAUUUUACUUGGAUGUUUUUGCAUUAUGGCCUUUUUACUUUAAAAGUAAACUAUGCAAAUAAAUUAUCUACCACAAAUUUCAAGAAGACUCAGAAAUCGCUUGCAUUUUAAUGUUUUGUAAGACUGCAUGUAAAGAUGAAAAUAUGCUUUUUGAAGUAAAUAAACUUUGUGACUUUCUAAAAACUUUAAAAUUAUUUUCAAGUGGAUUUUCCCUAAUAGUUUUACCGCUGAAAAUGAAAGUCUUUUCAGGUUUCAUGUGAAUAAAGAUGUAUAAGUUAGUUCCCUAAUCAUCACUGUUUUUUGUACUGUAAAUUUUGAAUGCUCUCCGUUUUCACACAUUGAGAGUUUAUUAGGAUAAACUCUUCUUGAUCACAAAGGUUGCUCGAAUAAUUAAGCCAGCAUUCGUUUUGCAAGGAUGGCCUACUCUUAUGCAAGAUCAGGGCAGGGAGGCUUGCUGUGUAGUGACCGCAAGUCACUUCUGCACGUCAGUCUUCAAUUUUCACAGUCAUCCACAGCAAAAAAAUUGCAGAAGUGAACUAAGAUGUUGAAAUCUUGGUUCACUUCAAGACAGAUCAUGUUCUGGUCCGUUUACCGUAUCUCAGGCGGUUUGGCUUCCCGUUACAAGUCAUGGUCCGGAAAUCCGGUGUGCCUUUCACUUAGGAGGAGGAACUGUAAUUAAAAAAUAAAAAUAAAAAGGCAAAAUCAUUAUCAAAAUCAUCUUUACUUAUUUGUUUUCAUUGUUGCUAAAAAUGGCAAGGGUUUGGCUACUUUUGGUUCAGUUCUGAUAAUUGUUUGCCUUUAGUGUUAACUUAGAGGGUCUAUGUUUUUAGUGCAAAACUUCAAAACACUAAAUCCAUCUUCCAGAUCGGUCUUCUCUAUAUACCCACUCUGAAGACUUAGAAAGGGUUUAAAUACAAAUUUGU